Molecule: ribosomal RNA, 315 nt
Filed under: uncultured eukaryote
Lineage: Eukaryota
Description: partial 18S ribosomal RNA
Rfam family: Eukaryotic small subunit ribosomal RNA
Source: RNAcentral
CCCUUAGACGUUCUGGGCCGCACGCGCGCUACACUGACCAGUGCAACAAGCAUCCGUCCUUGGCCGACAGGCUCGGGCAAUCUUUGAACGCUGGUCGUGAUGGGGAUAGACUUUUGCAAUUUUUGGUCUUCAACGAGGAAUUCCUAGUAAACGCAAGUCAUCAACUUGCAUUGAUUACGUCCCCGCCCUUUGUACACACCGCCCGUCGCACCUACCGAUUGAAUGGUCCGGUGAAGCCUCCGGAUUGGCGCGCACCUCGGUGCCGCCGAGAAGUUGGCUAAACCUUACCAUUUAGAGGAAGGUGAAGUCGUAACA